This 773-nucleotide ribosomal RNA is filed under the name uncultured bacterium. RNAcentral's name for it is "bacterial SSU rRNA". It matches the Rfam family "Bacterial small subunit ribosomal RNA", at positions 8 to 774 of the family's 1533-position model. The record is from RNAcentral.
AGAGUUUGAUCAUGGCUCAGAUUGAACGCUGGCGGCAGGCUUAACACAUGCAAGUCGAGCGGAGAUGAGGUGCUUGCACCUUAUCUUAGCGGCGGACGGGUGAGUAAUGCUUAGGAAUCUGCCUAUUAGUGGGGGACAACAUUCCGAAAGGAAUGCUAAUACCGCAUACGUCCUACGGGAGAAAGCAGGGGAUCUUCGGACCUUGCGCUAAUAGAUGAGCCUAAGUCGGAUUAGCUAGUUGGUGGGGUAAAGGCCUACCAAGGCGACGAUCUGUAGCGGGUCUGAGAGGAUGAUCCGCCACACUGGGACUGAGACACGGCCCAGACUCCUACGGGAGGCAGCAGUGGGGAAUAUUGGACAAUGGGGGGAACCCUGAUCCAGCCAUGGCCGCGUGUGUGAAGAAGGCCUUAUGGUUGUAAAGCACUUUAAGCGAGGAGGAGGCUACUGAGACUAAUACUCUUGGAUAGUGGACGUUACUCGCAGAAUAAGCACCGGCUAACUCUGUGCCAGCAGCCGCGGUAAUACAGAGGGUGCGAGCGUUAAUCGGAUUUACUGGGCGUAAAGCGUGCGUAGGCGGCUUUUUAAGUCGGAUGUGAAAUCCCCGAGCUUAACUUGGGAAUUGCAUUCGAUACUGGGAAGCUAGAGUAUGGGAGAGGAUGGUAGAAUUCCAGGUGCAGCGGUGAAAUGCGUAGAGAUCUGGAGGAAUACCGAUGGCGAAGGCAGCCAUCUGGCCUAAUACUGACGCUGAGGUACGAAAGCAUGGGGAGCAAACA